This 253-nucleotide ribosomal RNA is filed under the name uncultured bacterium. RNAcentral describes it as "partial 16S ribosomal RNA". It matches the Rfam family "Bacterial small subunit ribosomal RNA", at positions 524 to 776 of the family's 1533-position model. The record is from RNAcentral.
GACGAACCGUGCAAACGUUAUUCGGAAUCACUGGGCUUAAAGCGUGCGUAGGCGGCUCAGAAAGUUGGGUGUGAAAUCCCUCGGCUCAACCGAGGAAUUGCGCUCAAAACUACUGAGCUCGAGGGAGUUAGAGGUGAGCGGAACUAAUGGUGGAGCGGUGAAAUGCGUUGAUAUCAUUAGGAACACCGGUGGCGAAAGCGGCUCACUGGGACUCUUCUGACGCUGAGGAGCGAAAGCGUGGGGAGCGAACAGG